Molecule: long non-coding RNA, 644 nt
Filed under: Prunus persica (peach)
Lineage: Eukaryota; Viridiplantae; Streptophyta; Magnoliopsida; Rosales; Rosaceae
Description: long non-coding RNA (PPER_LNC004101)
Source: RNAcentral
GAAGAGAAAGUGAUGAAUGGCGUCAGGGAAGAGAAGCCAGGCCAGUGUGUUGGACUCACCUGUUCAGUUUAGCGACAGUACUAUUUUGUGAACCACAUUUUAGGCUCAUUAUAUUAGAGGAGCUAGUGAGCCAUUUUUUUCACUGUUGGACUGCAUAGUCUCAUUUAAGUUAGUCCUCUCUCUUACCAAACAUGGGUUUUAAGUGCUAUUUUGUUCAGUCCAGGUUAGUGAGGCCUACCAAACAUGCCCUUUGUGUCUGGUACAGUAAGUUGUUGUGGGGCUCUUUGUUGGCUUGUCCAGAUUGACCGUUGUCUAUUGCUUUCUCAGUUUCGAUUGUUGUUGUGGUCUAUUGUUUCCCUCUUUUCUGUUAUCUCUUCUUCCUUGUUAAGGGAGGAGGUUGGGGUGGGGUGGGCGGUGGUUCUGUCUUUUGGAUAUUCUUAUUUUCUCAAUUUUAUUUUAAAGAUAAAAACAUAUUUAAAGUCCAGCUGUAAAAAAAAAAAAAAGCUUUAAUUAUUUAAAAAUAAUAAUACGUGGCAUAUUUUGAAUGGAAGUAUCACCAGAUGACAUGGUGAUACGGUACAGUACCAUUGUAUAAUUUCUCCUGAAAUAGGUCAAAAUUCCCCACCCAUUAAUAAAAAUACAAG